GGCUUCGUGGUCGGGUGGUAAGGACACAUGCCUCUCACUCUGGAGCCCCGAGUUCAAUUCCCGGUCGAGGAGCUA
This is a non-coding RNA of Rhamnusium bicolor, 75 nucleotides long. The record is from the annotation of a GenBank genome assembly. Lineage: Eukaryota; Metazoa; Arthropoda; Insecta; Coleoptera; Cerambycidae.